This 4044-nucleotide long non-coding RNA is filed under the name Sus scrofa (pig). RNAcentral's name for it is "lncRNA (ENSSSCG00000053443.1)". The record is from RNAcentral. Lineage: Eukaryota; Metazoa; Chordata; Mammalia; Artiodactyla; Suidae.
UUUUUCUUUUUCUUUUUUUUUUUUUUUUUUGCUCUUUAGGGCCACACCCGUGGCAUAUGGAGGUUCCCAGGCUAGGGGUCCAAUUGGAGCUACAGCGGCAGGCCUACACCACAGCCACAGUAACGCAGGAUCUGAGCCACACCUGCAACCUACACCACAGCUCACAGCAACACCAGAUCCUUAACCCACUGAGUGAGGCCAGGGAUAGAACCCACCACUUCAUGGUUCCUAGUCGGUGUUGUUUCCACUGCGCCACAACAGGAACUCCUAAACCUGAAUUUUUAAUCUUAAGGAUGUAUCCCUCUAUCCUCAUGGAUGUUGAGUUGAUCACAUGGAUUUAACAGUGUGUGUGUAUAUAUAUAUAUAUAUAUAUAUAGAGAGAGAGAGAGAGAGAGAGAGAGAAAUUAUUAUGGCUUGUUCUACUUAGCCUAUUGGUGUGGUCUGUUAGCUGAUAGUAAAUGCCAAAGGCAAACUGACAUCAACCUCUUAAUCUAAAUGUUUGCAAACAUUCCUCAUUUAAACAAUAUUAGCAUAUUAGCCAAAUCACUGCUAAUUCGAGCAACCACUGACUUGGAUGGUUUGUCAACUAAGAGCAUAGCACGUCAGAAAUAAUUUAUGUACAUACAUGUUUCCUUAUUCAAGGUAGGGCCGACUACAAAGACUAUGGCAUAUACAGUUUUAUUCGAAAUUAGGUUUUUAUUUGAGGAGCAUUUCUAGCUGGUCUGCCCUCCUCCCUGCUGCAUCAUUUUCUAUGGAUUGACUUCCUCUUGAUCUCCUCAGUUUUUUCCCAUUCCUGGAGAACUGAGUUUGGCUCCUAUCAUAGGGUCAAUGAGGCUUAUGGAUCUCACACUGAUCCAGACAACGAUACCUGCCAAUCAUACUCAUUUUGUUCUCAUUACUCAAACUUUGAGAACUGUUCCCUCCUAACUACUUAUAAGAAUCUCUUUCUCUCUCUCUUUUUUUUUUUAAUGGCCACACCCAGGGCAUAUGGAAGCUCCCAGGCUAGGGGUCAAAUUGGACCUGCAGCUACUGGCCUUCACCACAGCCACAGCAACGCCUUCUCUUAAUAUCCAGCAUUCCCACUAAUAAUUCCUCUCCAGUCUCAACAGACUCAAAUUCAUCAAGUAUUUCUUGAACACUACCUAACCUUUCUUGAGAAAACUGUGUUCUAGGUUCUGUUCUAAGAAAUUUGCACCCAUGUAUUUAUUUAAUCUUUUCAAUUCUGUGAGAUGGGCGUUAGAGUUAUUCCUGUUUUCCAAAUAAGAAAACAGAUGCAUAGAGGUGCUAAAUAAAUAAUUUUUCAAAGUCACACAGCUGAACAUAGUCUGAAGGUGGAUCCCACGUUGUUAAGCUCUACUUACCGUGCUUACUAGGGACGAGAUGGUGCCAAACAUUUCACAGACUUUUAUCUUAUUUAAUCCUCAAAACUUCUGUAAUGUAUGCUUUAUAACAAAACCCUAGACUAAACAGAAUACCAGUUACAAACAUGUAACUAAAACCCAGAAGCUCCUAACUCUCAAUUCAGUGCUCCUGCUAUGAAAUCAUGGACGUGAGUGAUGCUACCUAUAUGGAUUCGGGAGACAAAGGAACAAACAGUGUUGAAUUGUUGAGACCCUAUCAUGUCCCAAACAUCCUCUAUAUAUCAUAACAUUUAUCCCUUUCAAUAACUCUGUGAGGUAUACUAACCUCAUUUUAUAGAUUAGGAAUCUAAGGCUUAAAAAGAUGAAGUAAAUUGCCCAAGAUGACAUAAGUGAUCCAGGAUACAAGCCCAGGUUGACCUGGACUAAAGCCUAAGGCUCUCCUCCGAGCAGGGAUGUGCAGGAUAGAAGGAAGGCGAGACUGCAAAGGAGGGAGAAGGCAAGGGGAGGGGAUCUACGAGGUUGUGGGGGGUUGUGACACUCUCAGUUCAUGGAGCUUUGCUGGUAACCUCUCUUUCCUGUUUCCCAAACCUAUCCUUGCCUGUCAUCUGCCGCCGUCUUCUCCCCACCCCCGCCCCUCGUAUCUCCACGCUCUAUUGGGCUCUGGAUUUAGAGUCCUCUGGAAACAUCCGCAGGAGGAGGGCAAAGUGAGGACUUCCAGAGGGAGUCAGAUAAAAGAAACCGUCCUGCUUUGGCAGUGCUCUCUGAUUACAGGAGGAAGAGAAGGUAGGGUCUCUGCAGCAUUUCCUUGUCCUGUUGCUUCAGCUUUCUUUUAUAUACACACUUUAAGUCUUAUCCUAUCUAGCAGGUCAUCUUAGAAGGAUUCUGGGUCAAAGCUAUCUGAAUAAAGUAAGUGGAUCCUGUUACCUGCUCCAUCCCCUUCAAGGAAUCGUCUCCCCUGUUUUCUUUCCACCCAAUAUACCCAUCUUCCUAAUCCCCCCCAUACCUAAGACAACCCAGACCCCUAGCAGCAUUUCUCACAUCUGGUCCAUUCUGAUACUUAGACAAUAAGACUUCCUUUAUUUUUUUCUACCCAGAGCUGGCUUUUGUAUUUUAUGCGUACUCUGCCUCGCCUCCCUAACAGCUUUCAUGAUCCCCAGUCCUAGUCUAGCCUUUCUAUAUUACAGUUACCUUCACCUAAUCUUCCUCUUGUAUCUCUUGUCUAUAUAUCAAGUUUAUUUUACCCUAGUAAUGCUCUAUGUCUGUAGAAAUAUGGGUAGCUGUAGAGGGAGAUAACUAACAAACUGAAAUGUGGGAAAUAAAUAAGAAUCCCUAGGAGUGGGAAUGGGGGUUUUGACAGAAACAGUAUGUACAGAUCACAGACUUAGAGAGCAUCACAACACGUGUAGAGGCGGAAAAGGGUGGGUGAUGACUGGACCACUGUAGCACAGUUAAAAGGAGAGACGGUAAUGCAUUACUGAGGGAUUUUUAAAAUCUGUUCCCCCAAAUCAAAUGCUUUGGGGAGUCAUCUUCUAUGUAAAAUCUCACUUUAGAAACAAGUGUAAGGUGAGACUGAUGAGAGCUGAGGCUUGAGGAAGAUGCACCAGCCCCCAGGCUAUUGAAAUAGUUCAGUCAAGAAAUGGCAAGGGCCUCACUGGUUAAGGGAGUAGGAGAAGGAGUAGAAAUAGGACAGGAGAAAGUGGACAAAUAUGAGAUAAUUAAAGAAGUUUAGAUAAAGCUUAGGUUAGCUGUGAGCAGGAUGUGGAUGUGGGUGGGAGGACAGGGAUGGAAGGUAACAGGAAACCUCCACCUCCAGUUCCUUACAGGUGACUGCAGAGACACUAAUAUCAUUCAUGGCGACAGACGAAGAACAGGCUUAGGGAACUUUUUCCUACACAUUUUGCAUUUGAGGGACCCCCGUGACACUGAGGGAAUUAUGCCCAUUUUCUGCUAUACUGUUGAGGAAUAUGACACUACUCCGGCAUAUCCUUCUUCUUUUAUGUCUGCUUAAGCAGUAGCAGCAGUGAUACAGCUAUUAAAAUGACAUACAGGCUUUCAGGGACUCUAACAGCAACAGCAAUGGGAGGAAGUUUACCAGAUCAGUGGAAGGAAAUGAAAGAAAAGACAGCUAGUGUUUCCAUGGGGACAUGCCACGUGAGUCAAUAUCCGAAGGUUUCUGUGAGGACGUGCCACACGAGUCAACACUGGAAGGUUAAGCAGGAGUUAGGUGAUACAUGCCAAGGGCUGCAGGGUAUAAAAUACCAUGGAGACUGUGGCAAGAGAUAAGGUUUUGGCGCUAGCAGUAGCAGGUCAUGAAGCACUUACACGCCAUGUUAGAUUGUGUAGACAAUGCGAUACUGCGGGUGGAUUUAGGGAAGAGAAUGAAAUGCUCAGAUGUGAGCUUUAGGAGGGAGACUAUAGGCAGUGAGACCAGUUGGGAGGCUAAGUUUUUUUUCACGUGUGCAGAGCAUCAGUUGUGGAAGGCAGAUAAGAUUAACAGAUAAGCAGGAAGAUCUGGGGCCAAAAGGGUCAAAAGCAUCACAAAUGGCACAUGAGGCAGGUAUUGAGGAUAAAGAGUCAAAGCUAAGACUAUGAGUGAAGACCGUAACUUCACGGUCCCCGUUAAUGACGCCGCUACAUGGUGUAGGAGUAGGUGUGGCAUCUUAAACUCCAAGGAGGAGAGAUG